This is a non-coding RNA of Odocoileus virginianus texanus, 841 nucleotides long. NCBI's taxonomy places the organism in Eukaryota, Metazoa, Chordata, Mammalia, Artiodactyla, Cervidae. The record is from RefSeq and is a predicted model, not a curated record.
GUAUUGGAGAAGGAUUCCAAAUGGGUCGCAACCACAGCCGCGCCCCACGGAGGGAGCGGAGGCGGUCCUGGUCCACAUCCCGGGAAAGAGAAUGCAGGCGCCGAGAAAGACCCGGGUUCCGGGAGCGAGAUCGGAGAAGAAGCUGCUCUCGCUCCCCACACAGAUGGCGUUCCAGGUCCCCAAGGCAACAUAGAUCCACAUCUCCUUCCCCUUCUCUACUGAGAGAAACAAGAGAUGAGGAGAAGAAAGAAACAAAAGAAACAAACAGCAAAGAAUGUCAGAUAACUGAGGAAGACUUAGAGGGCAAAACAGAGGAAGAAAUAGAAAUGAUGAAGUUAAUGGGAUUUGCCUCCUUUGGCUCCACAAAAGGGAAAAAGGUGGAUGGCUCUGUAAAUGCCUAUGCCAUAUAUGUGUCUCAGAAGAGAAAGUAUAAGCAGUACAUGAAUCGAAAAUGUGGAUUCAACAGACGUUUGGAUUUCAUUGCAUGAGCUCAAGUGUUGAAGAAUGAUGUUUUUUCCCUCAUCUUGAUCAGAACAGUGGAUUUUUUAUUUAAUAUGCAUCAAAAACAGGAUCACAGUCCUUCCUCUUUGUAAAGUAAGAAAAUUUUAUUUAUGAUGUGUGUAGUUCACUUACCCUGCCUCAAAAAAAGAGAAGUUAAAUAUUACAUUUUUUUCCUUUAGGAAAUAUCAUUUGGGGCAGUCACCAACCCCAUUUUUUUGUCCUUAUUCCUAUGGGAACUGUAUAUGUUUUUCUCUUGGAUGCUGUUUAUGACUUCUUAAAAUACAUAAAGUGAUUUGGAAGUAAGUUUCUCAAAUAAAGCAAUAAUUUCUAAAAAAAAAAA